Cajanus cajan (pigeon pea) is the source of this 106-nucleotide non-coding RNA. The record is from Rfam. Lineage: Eukaryota; Viridiplantae; Streptophyta; Magnoliopsida; Fabales; Fabaceae.
AGUGCAAUGAUGAGAUGAAACACCUAAGUGUUUAUGGGCAGUGGACGUUACCCUAAGGUUUCGCCGUGAGCCUGUAUUUUAAUGACUUCUCCUUCCACUGAGCACU